AUUGAACGCUGGCGGCAUGCUUUACACAUGCGAGUCGAACGGUAACAGGCCUUCGGGUGCUGACGAGUGGCGCACGGGUGAGUAAUGCAUCGGAACGUACCCAGAGGUGGGGGAUAACGCAGCGAAAGCUGUGCUAAUACCGCAUGUGAUCUGAGGAUGAAAGCGGGGGACCGAGCAGCAAUGUUUGGCCUCGCGCCUUUGGAGCGGCCGAUGUCGGAUUAGCUAGUUGGUGGGGUAAAGGCCUACCAAGGCGACGAUCCGUAGCUGGUCUGAGAGGACGACCAGCCACACUGGGACUGAGACGCGGCCCAGACUCCUACGGGAGGCAGCAGUGGGGAAUUUUGGACAAUGGGCGCAAGCCUGAUCCAGCAAUGCCGCGUGCGGGAAGAAGGCCUUCGGGUUGUAAACCGCUUUUGGCAGGAACGAAACGGUGUCCGCUAAUACCGGGCGCUAAUGACGGUACCUGCAGAAUAAGCACCGGCUAACUACGUG
Molecule: ribosomal RNA, 492 nt
Filed under: uncultured bacterium
Lineage: Bacteria
Description: partial 16S ribosomal RNA
Rfam family: Bacterial small subunit ribosomal RNA
Source: RNAcentral